GAUCAUGGCUCAGGAUGAACGCUAGCUACAGGCUUAACACAUGCAAGUCGAGGGGAAACGACAUCGAAAGCUUGUCUUUUGAUGGGCGUCGACCGGCGCACGGGUGAGUAACGCGUAUCCAACCUGCCCACCACUUGGGGAUAACCUUGCGAAAGUAAGACUAAUGCCCAAUGAUAUCCCACGAAGGCAUCCGAAUGGGAUUAAAGAUUUAUCGGUGAUGGAUGGGGAUGCGU
Molecule: ribosomal RNA, 233 nt
Filed under: uncultured bacterium
Lineage: Bacteria
Description: partial 16S ribosomal RNA
Rfam family: Bacterial small subunit ribosomal RNA
Source: RNAcentral